Molecule: ribosomal RNA, 497 nt
Filed under: uncultured bacterium
Lineage: Bacteria
Description: partial 16S ribosomal RNA
Rfam family: Bacterial small subunit ribosomal RNA
Source: RNAcentral
GAUGAACGCUGGCGGCGUGCCUAAUACAUGCAAGUCGAGCGAACGGACGAGAAGCUUGCUUUUCUGAUGUUAGCGGCGGACGGGUGAGUAACACGUGGAUAACCUACCUAUAAGACUGGGAUAACUUCGGGAAACCGGAGCUAAUACCGGAUAAUAUUUUGAACCGCAUGGUUCAAAAGUGAAAGACGGUCUUGCUGUCACUUAUAGAUGGAUCCGCGCUGCAUUAGCUAGUUGGUAAGGUAACGGCUUACCAAGGCAACGAUGCAUAGUCGACCUGAGAGGGUGAUCGGCCACACUGGAACUGAGACACGGUCCAGACUCCUACGGGAGGCAGCAGUAGGGAAUCUUCCGCAAAGGGCGAAAGCCUGACGGAGCAACGCCGCGUGAGUGAUGAAGGUCUUCGGAUCGUAAAACUCUGUUAUUAGGGAAGAACAUAUGUGUAAGUAACUGUGCACAUCUUGACGGUACCUAACCAGAAAGCCACGGCUAACUACGUG